This 172-nucleotide non-coding RNA is filed under the name Heterosigma akashiwo. The record is from RNAcentral. Lineage: Eukaryota; Raphidophyceae; Chattonellales; Chattonellaceae.
CUCAGCGAAAAACUUCUGAUCGUUUACUCGGGCCCCACCUCUACAGAAUGCAUAAGUAUGCAGCGUAACAUGACGGUAAAUUACCACCAGAAUUUUGAAUAUUUUCUCGCUUAUGGGCUCCCGAGAACUCCUGAAGAUGAGCGUUUGGUUGAUAUCAUAAUUGUUUUGACCG